CAGAGAUGAGAGGGUGCCUUCGGGAACACUGAGACAGGUGCUGCAUGGCUGUCGUCAGCUCGUGUUGUGAGAUGUUGGGUUAAGUCCCGCAACGAGCGCAACCCUUAUCCUUAGUUGCCAGCACGUAAUGGUGGGAACUCUGGGGAGACUGCCGGUGACAAACCGGAGGAAGGUGGGGACGACGUCAAGUCAUCAUGGCCCUUACGGGAUGGGCUACACACGUGCUACAAUGGCGCAUACAAAGGGCAGCAAGCCAGCGAUGGUUAGCGAAUCUCAUAAAGUGCGUUGUGUUGUAGUCUGGAUCGGAGUCUGCAACUCGACUCCGUGAAGUCGAUAUCGAUAGUUAUGGUGAAUCAGAAUGCCACGGUGAAUACGUUCCCGGGCCUUGUACACACCGCCCGUCACACCAAGGGAGUGGGGUGCACCAGAAGUGGUUGGUUUAACCUUCGGGAGAACGAUCACCACGGUGUGGUUCAUGACU
This 481-nucleotide ribosomal RNA is filed under the name uncultured bacterium. RNAcentral describes it as "bacterial SSU rRNA". It matches the Rfam family "Bacterial small subunit ribosomal RNA", at positions 1001 to 1476 of the family's 1533-position model. The record is from RNAcentral.